GGGGCUCCUUGGGGUCCAGUCUCCUGGAAACGCUGAAACGACAUUGAAAAUGGCUGUGUUGGAGAAGCAGCCUGCAGAGGUCUCUCCCGAGCCCGGUAACCCUGCUGAGCCCUCCAUCUGCUGAGUGCUGGCAAGCGUCUGUCCCUCAAGCUGAGCGCCAGGCCACGAGAAGAAACCAUUUCUCAACAUGCCCAGCUUUCAGGCCAGCAGCCACCUGCCCUUCUGGUCACACGUCCCUAUUGGAGAAACAAGUUUGCUGUCCCCAGGUACGAAUGUGCACCACCACCGACGCGCACGUAUGGCACUGAUGAAACACCCCCCAAGGGACUGAAGGAGCAGGAAACAUGUGAACCGGAGCAUCUGUGCUUCCUUCUCCCGGCGGCUGCCACGGGUCCCGGUUUGGAGGCACUGCUGAGGAAAUCCUUCAUCCCCCAACCCUUAAAGUCAUCUCUGCUGGUUGCCCAGACCCAAUCCUCUCCUGCCGAGAGAGUGCGCUCAGGCCGGCACGCGGGGGACCCCGACCAAAAGGAAUUUGAGCUGCCGACAGCAACACACGAGUAGCAGCACUGGUGGGAAGGGGGUCCUGUGACAGCCAGAGGCCAGCACCGCGGCCUCAGGGCCUGAGAUGCUCUCUUGGAACCGGGGAUGCCUGCGGGCUGGGUAGGGAAGGUGCCACACCCAGGGGUCCUGGCGGGGGCACGAGGGAGCAUUCAUGCCAAAUUGGAACUGCCCAGUAGACUGGCAUCAUGCCCUCUAACUCCCCUGCCCCGAGCUGCAGCCUCACCAUGAGGAUAAGGUUCCAAGACCCGAAAGACCCCAGAGAAUGAGCUCCUCCUUGGUACGGUGGGGACAAAGCACUGUGCCAGGCCAGUGACAGCCCCACAGUGGGUGCGUACGGAAGCGCUUGGGCAUACAGCCCUGAGCACACAGGCCCCUGGGAAGAAACCAUCACUGUUAUGCUGAGCCCUGCCACCUCCACACGGGUCCAGCAGCUGGGACCCUCCCUGGGCCAAACAAGCUCCGGCUGGUCUCAGGCCAGUGCAACCCACCAGCAGAAGGAGGGCAUUGAGCUCAGCUGCUGCGCCGAGGGGAGGGGUUGGGGUGAGAGACGGGCCAGGAAGGCAGAGAGUGUGGCAAGACACGCUGGAAGCAGUAAGAGUGGCUGCCACAGAAUACAAGCCAGGGGAAGCCCCCAGCUCGACAGGAGAGACCCUGGGAGACUGGACACAAGACGUCAGCCAGGCCAGAACUGCAGGGGGAGCGGGCCUGGGAACCCCUGAGCCCUGAGGCCCAUGUGGGCCCACCAGGUGGAUGCAUCUCGGGCCAAGCUGAUUGGGCCCUGCUUCCCUUUAGGCCUAGCCAGUCCCCAUAAUUGACAAGGGUGGGACACAGGGGUCGCUUUCUGCUGACCCCACUGGCUGACUGAGCCGGGUUGGUGGGAACUGCUACCACCAGUUAGUGAGGCCUGCCAUGAACCCAGGAGGAGUUCACGGGCGCGAGCACCAAGGCCAUGGACCUGUCAUCCAUGAUGUACCACAAAACCCGACCCUUGGACAUGCCCCCAGUGACAGCCGGUAGCCUGGAACUGGGCCAAAUCCUUCCCCACCAGGAGACGCGAGGAUGCUCGUAGCGUCCACCUCUGACCUCCCCCUCGGCCCAUCGACACCUCUUCCUGUGGCUUUCCUGGGCCCAGGAGCUGCAUAUGGGCAUCAGUCCCCUCACAUGAAUGAAUGAUGGCCACCUGAGGGCCAGGGAGUGGCAGGUGCCGGCCCUGCUGAGGACUCGGCUGGGGGCUCCCAGCCCUGAAUCCAGAGCUUCUCUGCUCCUUAUGGGGUUUGUCUCUGGACGUCUUUGUUCAUCCAUUCAUUUAAAAACAGCUCCUAAGAAUAAAGUCCCCUAGUUCCCAAAUGUCUAGACUUUGUGGUCAUCGAGCACUGGGUGGGGUAUCAGAGUCCUGUCACCCCUUCUUGCCUGCAGCCGUGCAGGUGAGCCAUCCCAGCGCCCACGACGGGAGGCUCCGGCCAGCCUGGUCAGCAGCGCUGACAGGCAGAGGGUGUUUCCUGCCAUGUCUGUGAAUGUCCCUUGGGCCCGUCUGUUUGGCCCCUUCUCAGGA
This is a long non-coding RNA of Manis pentadactyla (Chinese pangolin), 2113 nucleotides long. RefSeq lists it as uncharacterized. The record is from RefSeq and is a predicted model, not a curated record. NCBI's taxonomy places the organism in Eukaryota, Metazoa, Chordata, Mammalia, Pholidota, Manidae. The transcript has 3 exons.